This 253-nucleotide ribosomal RNA is filed under the name uncultured bacterium. RNAcentral's name for it is "partial 16S ribosomal RNA". It matches the Rfam family "Bacterial small subunit ribosomal RNA", at positions 524 to 776 of the family's 1533-position model. The record is from RNAcentral.
UACAGAGGUCUCAAGCGUUGUUCGGAUUCAUUGGGCGUAAAGGGUGCGUAGGCGGCGCGGUAAGUCGGGUGUGAAAGCCCCGAGCUCAACUUGGGAAUUGCAGUGGAUACUGGCGGGCUGGAGUGCGGUAGAGGAAGGUGGAGUUCCCGGUGUAGCGGUGAAAUGCGUAGAGAUCGGGAGGAACAUCAGUGGCGAAGGCGGCCAUCUGGGACAACACUGACGCUGAGGUGCGAAAGCGUGGGGAGCAAACAGG